This 456-nucleotide ribosomal RNA is filed under the name uncultured Desulfocapsa sp. RNAcentral's name for it is "bacterial SSU rRNA". It matches the Rfam family "Bacterial small subunit ribosomal RNA", at positions 930 to 1382 of the family's 1533-position model. Lineage: Bacteria; Pseudomonadati; Thermodesulfobacteriota; Desulfobulbia; Desulfobulbales; Desulfocapsaceae. The record is from RNAcentral.
CGGUGGAGUAUGUGGUUUAAUUCGACGCAACGCGCAGAACCUUUACCUGGUCUUGACAUCCCGGGAAUCUUGUGGAAACACGAGAGUGCCUCGCAAGAGGAGCCUGGAGACAGGUGCUGCAUGGCCGUCGUCAGCUCGUGUCGUGAGAUGUUGGGUUAAGUCCCGCAACGAGCGCAACCCCUAUCUUUAGUUGCCAUCAUUGAGUUGGGCACUCUAAAGAGACUGCCGGUGUCAAACCGGAGGAAGGUGGGGAUGACGUCAAGUCCUCAUGGCCUUUAUGACCAGGGCUACACACGUACUACAAUGGCCGGUACAAAGGGCAGCGACACAGCGAUGUGAAGCGAAUCCCGAAAAGCCGGUCUCAGUCCGGAUUGGAGUCUGCAACUCGACUCCAUGAAGUUGGAAUCGCUAGUAAUCGCGGAUCAGCACGCCGCGGUGAAUACGUUCCCGGGCCUU